Molecule: unclassified non-coding RNA, 259 nt
Filed under: Hevea brasiliensis (rubber tree)
Lineage: Eukaryota; Viridiplantae; Streptophyta; Magnoliopsida; Malpighiales; Euphorbiaceae
Source: RNAcentral
UAUGACCCUAGCUCUCUUCAGGACUUCUGUGUAGCCAUCAAUGGCAGCAAAGAUGGUGUGUUUGUCAAUGGAAACUUCUGCAAGGACCCAAUGAUUGUAACGGCAGACGAUUUCUCAUUUUCUGGUCUCAAUAUUCCUCUAAAUACAACAAACCAAAUUGGAUUCAACAUUACUCUCUUAAAUGUUGAUACAGUACCAGGACUUAACACUCUUGGCAUAGCCAUGGCUCCUAUAGACUAUGCAGCAAAUGGAGGCGAAA